GGCCCUUAAGCGUAGGGUCCCUUAACUUUUAACUAAAAACGCUAAGGGACGACCCUUAAAUAAGGGACUUUAGGGUCGUCCCUUAGCGUUUUUAGUUAAAAGUUAAGGGACCCUACGCUAAGGGCC
MicroRNA precursor from Brassica oleracea var. oleracea, 126 nucleotides. It matches the Rfam family "MIR9563 microRNA precursor family". The record is from Rfam. NCBI's taxonomy places the organism in Eukaryota, Viridiplantae, Streptophyta, Magnoliopsida, Brassicales, Brassicaceae.